GCGCCGUGUCGCCGGGUUCGAAUGCGUCGUCGGGGUCGACGCGUUGGUGCAGCAGGGCGAACUGACGCCGGAGCGCUUCCGGCGCGUCGUU
RNAcentral lists this transfer RNA (91 nucleotides) under Burkholderia oklahomensis. Its description in RNAcentral is "tRNA-Pro(ggg)". The record is from RNAcentral. Lineage: Bacteria; Pseudomonadati; Pseudomonadota; Betaproteobacteria; Burkholderiales; Burkholderiaceae.